This 253-nucleotide ribosomal RNA is filed under the name uncultured bacterium. RNAcentral's name for it is "partial 16S ribosomal RNA". It matches the Rfam family "Bacterial small subunit ribosomal RNA", at positions 524 to 776 of the family's 1533-position model. The record is from RNAcentral.
UACGGGGGGGGCAAGCGUUGUUCGGAAUUACUGGGCGUAAAGGGCUCGUAGGCGGCCAACUAAGUCAGACGUGAAAUCCCUCGGCUUAACCGGGGAACUGCCCUCCAAACUGCUUCGCUUGAGACCGGGAGAGGUGAGUGGAAUUCCCAGUGUAGCGGUGAAAUGCGUAGAUAUUGGGAGGAACACCAGUGGCGAAGGCGGCUCACUGGACCGGUACUGACGCUGAUGCGCGAAAGCGUGGGGAGCAAACGGG